This 3040-nucleotide unclassified non-coding RNA is filed under the name Octopus sinensis (East Asian common octopus). RNAcentral's name for it is "protocadherin beta-15, transcript variant X2". The record is from RNAcentral. Lineage: Eukaryota; Metazoa; Mollusca; Cephalopoda; Octopoda; Octopodidae.
AGAAUGCUCCAUCUAAUGAUGUUAUUGAUCUAAAAUCCUUAAGAAUUACCAGUGCCAGUCCAUCACAACCUUGGAAUCUACCAAUGAGGAACAGCUUUACCUCUUAUGCAAAACCAUUACCAGCUGUACCCAAGAUAAAAUCUCAAUAAUAUUUGGAUGAAAAUUAUUUUGAAAUGACUCUGAGUAAGAAACUUUUAGAAAUAGAAGUAUUUAUAUUAAUAUAUAUUUUAAAUACAAGCCUCGGUGUUGUUCUCACCUAUCAUGUACAAGAAGAACAAAAUCCCGGUACCUAUGUCGGAGAUAUUGCUGCCAAUACCAAAUUUGUGGACAGUUUUCCACCACAAGGCCAUAAUCUUAUUACUUUUAGUCAAUUACAUGAAAGUCUGACUGGAAAUGCUCAGUUGUUCAAUGUCUCCAAAAUAGGGAAGUUAUACACCGGCAAAACUUUGGACUCAGAGUCACUUUGUAAAUACAGAAGGGAAUGUUUUAGAAUGAUAGAAAUUGCUGUCCGACAUGAAGAAUCAUUUGUGAAAAUUAUUGAAAUCAAAAUCAUUGUUGAAGAUAUUAAUGAUAACGAGCCAAUAUUUCCAAAUAAAAUGAUUAAUCUCCAAUUUGACGAAACAGACGGGAAAGGAACUACAAAAUCUAUUCCCAGUGCUGUUGAUAAAGAUGUAGGAAUUUUAAAUUCUCAGAUUACUUAUGUUCUUCAAAAAGAUGAAAAUGCUCCUUUUGAGCUAUCAGUUUUGAAAAGAAUGGUUGGCACUGAGAAACUUGAUAUCGUUCUCAAAAGCAAACUUGACAGAGAAACGAAAGAUGUUUAUACAAUACAAGUCAUUGCUAAAGAUGGUGGAACUCCCCCUAGGGAAGGUAUUUUAAAUGUUCAGAUAUCGGUUACAGAUGUGAAUGAUAAUGCACCUAUCUUUUCUCAGAAUAUUUACAAUGUCUCAGUUGAAAACGCAAAUGACAUAGAAUCUCCUAUUCUUAUUUUAUCUGCCAAAGAUUUAGACACAGAUAAAAACGGUGCUGUUUCAUAUUAUUUGAAUUCUGAAACAACAGAUCUGGCAAAAUCAUACUUUGAACUCAAUGAAGUCACUGGGGAGCUUUUUUUAAGUAAGAAAAUUCCACUGAAGAGAAGACAAACAUAUAAAUUAUAUGUAGAAGCAAAAGACGGGGGUGAACCAUCUUUAAAUUCAAUAGCAAUGGUUUAUGUAAACAUUAUUAACCAGCAGAAUAAUGCACCAAGGAUUGAUGUAAAAUUUGUUUCCAAAUCAAAAGAUAAUUCAGCUGUGAUUUCUGAAGGGGUCAAAGUUGGCAGCUUCAUUGCCUAUGUAAAGGUUACUGAUAAUGAUGCUGGAUUGAAUGGAGAAGUUUCUUGUGAUCUUCAGAAUGAUAAAAUACAACUCCAAGAACUUGGCAGAAAGAAAUAUAAAGUUAUUGUCAAGAAUUCCGUCGAUAGAGAGACUGAAGACUAUAUAGACUUUUCAAUUAUUUGUAAAGAUGAAGGCUCACCUUCUCUUCAUACAGAGAGAAGGUUCUCAAUCCAAGUGAUGGAUGUCAAUGAUGUACAGCCACAAUUUACUAAAGAUACAUUCAAAUUUCUAACCUAUGAGAAUGAGAAAGAAAACUUUCCAGUUGGUUAUAUUAAUGCAACUGACCCUGAUUUAGGACAGGGAGGUCACCUGACCUAUUCUUUAUUACACAACCAUAAUGAUAUUCUUCCUUUUCAAAUUUCUGACUUUGGAUUUAUUUCAACGACUCAUUCAUUGGACCAUGAACAGCAGGAUAUUUAUGAGUUCAACAUUUUAGUUACAGACAAUGGCAGUCCAGCAUUGAACAGCACUGCUAAUGUGCUUGUUGAAGUUAUUGAUAAAAAUGACAAUGCACCAUAUUUUACAUUUCCUAGUGUUAACCCUUUUAACAUAGAUGUCCAUUACCAUCCGCAGAGUAAGAAUGACGUCACAACAUUAAGAGCUUCUGACAGAGACAGCCAUGUGAAUGCUUUCCUCAGAUAUGAAAUAAUAGGAGGAAACCACAAACAGUUAUUCAUUAUUAAUCCUUAUACUGGAGUAUUGUCUUUCUCUCGUCCAGUUUACCAAAAUGAUGCUGGGUCAUAUGACCUUCAGUUUGUGGUCAGAGACAGUGGGACUCCAGUAUUGUCAGCAACCACCACAGUAUUUCUGACUCUGACGGUCAGCAACAGCACUUCUCAGCUUUACACAGCUCAACACACUGAGUCAGAUGAUAUGAUACAUAUCAGUUUAGUAGUAAUAAUCGUAAUAGCUGCUGUGAUAAUAUCUACAGCUAUUGUAGUCUCUAUAAUAGUCUGCAUUGUUCAAAGACAGAAUCAAAGAGAGGUUCAGUACGGUUACCGGAUUGAUGCAAACAAUGAUUUAGUCGGGGAGAGAAGACACUCAGAAGAUAUUUGUGAACAAAUAUCUCUCAAAUACGAUGCCCCCGUUGCUAUGGAGACUAAUCCAAGUCUCAGCAGAAACCCCCAUACAUCAUCAGUAUUAAAAAGAGGGUUCUAUUCAGGAUAUAAAUCAGGACAAAAUUGGAGAGAUUCUACUUUGGCAAUUCAGCUAAAAUCUUCAGCUGAUGAUACUACACAACUUGACAGCCACAUAUAAUAACUAUGAACAGAGAAAAUAACAAACUUUAAAAUAAAAAGAUUUUAGAGUUAAAAAUGCUGAAGACGAAGGAAGUACCCAAACAGGGAAGGAUUUAACCAAAUAAUUUGCUGGUUCAACUUGGUGUUGAUGUCAAGAUUCAAAACGAUACACUCAUACAAUAUCUGGAAUUUUGUGGAUUAUUACCAGCAGUCACAAUGUAUGGAAAUCUUGAAGGAGGUGGUGUUGGGGAAUCUCCUUGAAUGGUGAAAGGCAAUAAAAGAACUACAGGUGCCCCCACAAGGCCACAAUGACAUCUGGUGUUAACAAGUUAGAGGACUGUGUGAUUAUGGCACCUGACCAUUGCAAAGAAAUGCUUACAGUAUUUUCUCAUAUUAACAAUGGUCAAAAUUGUCUUGAAAGAAACAAUGGAC